RNAcentral lists this long non-coding RNA (566 nucleotides) under Numida meleagris (helmeted guineafowl). RNAcentral's name for it is "lncRNA (ENSNMEG00000018623.1)". The record is from RNAcentral. Lineage: Eukaryota; Metazoa; Chordata; Aves; Galliformes; Numididae.
UAAGGAUAGCAUGUGGGAAAUGCAGGAAAGACAGCAGAUGAUCUGUGUUAAGAUGAGAUCUGUUUGCCACUACCACCUAGCUCAUCACGUCCAUGUUGGAGGAUAGAGUUUGAGUAAGAAGAGCCUAUCUAUAUCUGUAAAUGAAUGAUAUCAUUAUUUUGGGAAAUGAAAGUUUAAGCUCUGUAAAACAUACAAUCCCAUGGAGAUCUCAGCAGAGGAACUUGUACGUGCAGGUGUUUAAUGUGAUAAGGAGAAAUGCGGAGAGAUUAAAAAAAAAUACUUGGAGUCAACCAAAGAAUCCAAGCAACAUUACUGCUGUAAAAGAAAGCACUGCAUUUCUGUCUAAGCAACUAGCUAGCUUGCUUGUUUUCAUUUUUUGUAACAACUCUUUUUCUUCUAGUCAUGACUGUUAAGAAAAAUGACUAAUAAUUCUUAUGUUAAAUGAAAGGUUGUUGUUCCAAAUACAUUAUCCGAGAGAUCUCAUCAAUUGCUGUAAAGGAAUUCUGCUGAAAACAUACUCCAAUAGUUCAAAUAAACUGUAACUAAGCAGAAAGGAAAGGGAAAAU